GCAGAACGCGAAGAACCUUACCUACUCUUGACAUCCAGAGAACUUAGCAGAGAUGCUUUGGUGCCUUCGGGAACUCUGAGACAGGUGCUGCAUGGCUGUCGUCAGCUCGUGUUGUGAAAUGUUGGGUUAAGUCCCGCAACGAGCGCAACCCUUAUCCUUUGUUGCCAGCGGUCCGGCCGGGAACUCAAAGGAGACUGCCAGUGAUAAACUGGAGGAAGGUGGGGAUGACGUCAAGUCAUCAUGGCCCUUACGAGUAGGGCUACACACGUGCUACAAUGGCGCAUACAAAGAGAAGCGACCUCGCGAGAGCAAGCGGACCUCAUAAAGUGCGUCGUAGUCCGGAUUGGAGUCUGCAACUCGACUCCAUGAAGUCGGAAUCGCUAGUAAUCGUAGAUCAGAAUGCUACGGUGAAUACGUUCCCGGGUCUUGUACACACCG
Molecule: ribosomal RNA, 438 nt
Filed under: uncultured bacterium
Lineage: Bacteria
Description: bacterial SSU rRNA
Rfam family: Bacterial small subunit ribosomal RNA
Source: RNAcentral